ACGCACGCUGGCGGCGUGCUUAACACAUGCCCGUCGCACGGAAAGGCCCUGCUUGCAGGGUACUCGAGUGGCGAACGGGUGAGUAACACGUGGGUGAUCUGCCCUGCACUUCGGGAUAAGCCUGGGAAACUGGGUCUAAUACCGGAUAGGAGCCAUUUUUAGUGUGAUGGUUGGAAAGUUUUUUCGGUGUAGGAUGAGCUCGCGGCCUAUCAGCUUGUUGGUGGGGUAAUGGCCUACCAAGGCGGCGACGGGUAGCCGGCCUGAGAGGGUGGACGGCCACAUUGGGACUGAGAUACGGCCCAGACUCCUACGGGAGGCAGCAGUGGGGAAUAUUGCACAAUGGGCGCAAGCCUGAUGCAGCGACGCCGCGUGGGGGAUGACGGCCUUCGGGUUGUAAACUCCUUUCGCUAGGGACGAAGCUUUUUGUGACGGUACCUAGAGAAGAAGCACCGGCUAACUACGUG
RNAcentral lists this ribosomal RNA (464 nucleotides) under uncultured bacterium. RNAcentral describes it as "partial 16S ribosomal RNA". It matches the Rfam family "Bacterial small subunit ribosomal RNA", at positions 29 to 507 of the family's 1533-position model. The record is from RNAcentral.